This 5380-nucleotide long non-coding RNA is filed under the name Medicago truncatula (barrel medic). RNAcentral's name for it is "long non-coding RNA (MTRU_LNC002109)". The record is from RNAcentral. Lineage: Eukaryota; Viridiplantae; Streptophyta; Magnoliopsida; Fabales; Fabaceae.
CUCAUUUGAUAUGGGUGUAGUACAUUUUGUUUAUAUAUCAACAGAGACCAAUUUUCUUCUUGGGAGCAACCAGUAUAACUUCUUGAAGCAUGAUUUGGAAUCAGUUGACAGGAACAAGACUCCUUUUGUAGUAGUCCAAGGGCACCGACCUAUGUACACCACAAUCAACGGAACCAAGGAUGUUCUGUUAAGAGAACAGAUGUUGGAGCACUUGGAACCUCUAUUGGUGAAUAACAAUGUGUCCCUUGCCCUUUGGGGCCAUGUUCAUAGAUACGAGAGAUUUUGUCCACUGAAUAACUACACUUGUGGAAAUGGUGUGGGCCAGAGAGCAAGAGACAAAGGAUAUACCGUUCAUCUUGUGAUUGGCAUGGCAGGGCAAGACAAGCAAUCCAUCUGGAAAACAAGACCGGGUCAUCCCAAUGACUCGAUCUUUCCACAACCAAAACGGUCUUUGUAUCGUGGGGGUGAAUUUGGGUACAUUAGACUAGUGGCUACAAAGCAGAAGCUCGUGGUUUCUUAUGUUGGAAAUCAUGAUGGCGAGGUGCAUGACACAUUGGAAAUUAUGGCAUCUGGAGAAGUUUUCAAUGGUAAUAUUAAUGUCGAUAUUGGUAGUGCUAAACCUAAAGGUUUGAUUGAAGAAGCUACAUUAUCCCGGUAUGUCCAAGGAGGAAGUGUACUGGUGCUUGGGGCCUUUAUGGGUUACAUUCUCUGUUGGGUUAUACAUGCAAGGAAGAAGCCUGAGUCCAAGAGUGGUUGUACUAUCGCGAAGACUGAGAAACAUGAUUAGUUACUACUCUUUACUAACUUUUUUUAUAGGAGGUAUAGAAUUAAGUAUCACUCAUAUUUGUUUGAUCAAAACUCUGAUAUACUUGGAGACUUUAUGUUUGAACAUAUGCAAGUUUUCUCCCUAAAAGCUUGUCGUUUAAUUAAGGCAUCCCUUGUAGUGACUUGUGUUGUUGUAUAAUAUUCAAGUUUUCUCACUAUGAUUUUGUAUGGGUUAUGUUCCUUACUGAUAGAAUAAGAGAAGUCUCGUCCCUAUUCCCUAAUUUCUUGAAUUAUUAGUUUUGAAGCAAAUUGAGAUCGAAAAAUGGUAAGGUAUUCCCCAAUGUUAAACAAAAACAUAGAUUUCUCACAAUUCUAACUUCUGAAAUGUUAUUUUAAAGAGUAAAUAAUUACUUUGUUCCCCAACUCUCUACCUCGCUGUAACAAUGGUCCCUGAGGAUUAAAGACAAAGUAGUCAUUAAAUGUGCACUUCCGUUAUCACUUUGGUCCAUAACGUUAAAUAAUUAUGUUAAGUGAUGACGCGACGAAGGUUUUAUGCUGACAAAGAGUAUGGGGUGUCACAGAGACUAAAGUGAAAGUAAAAAAUGGUCACUUUGAUCUCUGCACCGAAAAUCAAUAUCCUCGAAAAUCAAUAUCCCGAAACUCGUCCCAAUUUCGGUUAAGUAACUUUGGUUACUUUGAUUUCGGUUCAGAAAUCAAAGUAACAAUUUUUUACUUUCACUUUAGUCACUGUGACACCUCAUACUCCUUGUCAGCAUAAAAUCUUUGUCACGUCAUCGGUUAACAAAAUUAUUUAACGUCAGGGACUAAAGUGAUAACGGAUGUGCACAUUCAAGGACUACUUUGUCUUUAAUCCUGAAUCAGUCACCAUAAUCGAAGAAUAUAUCCCCUCACAAAAAUUCGCAAAAGGAGAAAGGAGGUUGGAAUUGUGAGAAAAUGUAAUCUAAAUUAGGUUUCUCAAAAAUAUUAAAUUCAAUUUAUUCAGACAAAAUAAACCAUUGUUCAGUGGUAUAUAUAAUUACUAACAUAAACCCUUAAUUAAAUUAUAUCAAAGUAUAGGGACGGAGGUACUACAUUGUUUAGGUAGGUGCAGUGAGGAUAGAGAGGAGCAUUGUUUACGACGUCAAUUCUCUACGACAGUUGCACGUGCAGUAACACGGCUGGGAAUGUUAGAUAUUGAGAUGCAAAUUUUCUCUCUUGCCAAUCGUACAAUCAUCGAUAGUUUAAUAUAAAAAUCAAAAGUUCAAAUAGUCCUCAACAAGUGUUUUUAAGUGGAGGCAAUUCUCACGUCUUAAGCGGGUUUUGUGGACUUGUUAGACGCAACCAUAAAUUUUAGGACCGUGGAGAUGUAAAGUGUAGGAUGAGGUACCCGCAAACACUAUGACCAUCAAAUUAAUGAGUAGAAAGUAAGGGGUAUUGAAAGGAUAUAAGUGGUGUACCUUAUGCUAUGGUACAAAGAUCCAUUUAUAUAUGCAUCUAAGGAUAUAAUUGUUGAGGCAGUCGUUGAAGAGCGAUUACAGGCGACUGAUAUGAAAGGAUGAACUUGAUGAAUGUUGUGAUGCAUUGAUGUUUGAAAGCGCUACAAACUUACAUAAAUUUUAAGUCUACUGAUUGUUGAUGUUUGGGACAAAAAGAGCAUCUAUGUGCGAGAAUAUGGUUGAGGUCAGACCUAUGUGUUCAGAUUAAAUAUAAAGUGGACAUUGAAUUUUGGGCUAGUCUCGAACAUUAGAUAGACAAGUUGACUUGAAAUAAUCUUAGUUACAUGUGUUUGAAAAGUUUAGCUGAAUAUAUAUAUAUAUAUAUAUAUAUAUAUAUAUAUAUAUAUAUAUAUAUAUAUAUGUUGAACUUGCAAGUGACUUAACCGAAUAUAAGUUAGGUCACCUUACAUAUAUAUAGGGACGCACAUGUUUUUUUUCGAAAGAGGAUGCAAGUUUUUUUUUUUUUUUUUUUGAGGCGAGGGACACAAUUUUUUUAAAAAAUUAAAUUAAUCCAUCAAAAUUGAUACCUGAAUGAAAAACUUUCAAAAUCUCAAGUGAGUUAGGGAGGGGCACAAGUUAGUGAUGUGAACUUAGUAAAAUAGUGAUCCUAAAAAUCAUGUAUUGAAUUUUGGAAAAGUCAAAAUAUGUAGCUAAUUUAGCAAAGAUCCUUGCAAUAAAGAAGAAUAUACCAGCUGGAUUAAGAGGAUGCUUAACCAAUCUUCAUCUUCAUCUUCAUUUCAUUCAAUUCCAACAAAUUCAUAAUCAUGAUCCCUCACACAAUACUCUUCACCUUACUCUUAUCCUCAACCUUCACCUCUACCCUCGCCCAAUCAAAACCCACCCUAACAGUAACCCCAACCACCCUCACAAAAUCUGGCGACACCGUCACCCUCCGGUGGUCCGGUAUCCAAUCCCCCUCCGAUCUCGACUUCCUCGCAAUCUACUCCCCACCUACCUCCGCCCACAAAAACUACAUCGGCUACCUCUUCCUCUCCAAAUCCCCCACCUGGCAAUCCGGCUCCGGCAACCUCUCUCUUCCUCUCAUCAACCUCCGUUCCAACUACUCCUUCCGUAUCUUCCACUGGUCCCAAUCCGAAAUCAACCCUAAACGUCAAGAUCACGAUCAUAAUCCCUUACCACAAACGCAUCACCUUCUUGCUUUCUCUGAUGAAGUUUCUUUUCCAUCCCUUCGACCGGAGCAGAUUCAUCUUGCUUUUGCAGAUGAAGAAGAUGCUAUGAGGGUGAUGUAUGUGACGGGGGUUCCGAAGAAGACGUAUGUGAGAUAUGGAGAAAGAGAGGAUAUGAUGGAUAGAUUGGUUGUUGCGAAUGUGAAGAGAUAUGAGAGAGAGCAUAUGUGUGAUGCUCCUGCUAAUCAGAGUGUUGGUUGGAGGGAUCCUGGGUUUUAUUCAUGAUGCUUUGAUUACUGGUUUGGACAAAGGAAGAAGAUAUUACUACAAGGUUUUUAUUUUUUAUUUUUUUGCUUUCUUUGUGUUGUUGGAUUUCUCGUGACAUUGCUCUUUUAGGUUUGUUUGGUUGGAUAUUUUUAUUACUUUGGUUAGAAGUUAGUUGGAUGUAAAGUGGUACUCUUUCCGGUGACUAAAAUUUCACUUUUUAGGUUCAUUGCAUAACUGAUGUAUUCGUCUAUAAUACAGACGAGAUUCACCGGUUAUGCACUGAACCUAAAUAGUCAAAUUUUGCUUAUAACAGCGACCACAGGGUAUUUGGGGUGAAUUCUACUGUGGACCACUUUGAUAGGUUGGUCACAGGGGACUGAAAAUCAAAAAUCGUUCAAAACUCCAAUGACAACAUAAGUUGCGUUUUAGAAGUAGAACUCCACAAUUCUUCUUGUUAUCACGGUUGAGAUAGUGACUUGAUCGGUGCUGGUUCAACAGAAAGAAAAAAAAAAAGAAGAAAACGAAUGUAUGGCUAAAACAUGAAUUCGGUUUUUGGUUGAACCAACAUCAAUCAGAUCAAUGUCUCAUGGAAAAGAGAACUGGGGGUUUAUGCUUUGCAGGGAUGUCAUCACUCGUAGUUGGGGUUUUGAGAAGUACUAGGCUAUCAGAUACACUAGAAUUGUUUAUGUUAUAUGAAUUAAACAAUGAAUCUGAGGCUGAAACGAAAUCACGAUAAGAGGUAUAAAGCUCUAAAUAUCAUCUUUUAAGUUAAAAUCCAUUACGGAGACAAAACCUAUUCUACUUAAUACUCAAAUAUGCCAAAAAAUUUAGUAAGUAUACAAUAUCGUAUUUUGCUGAGGUCUUAAAAUUCUGAUUCAUCUAAUUGCUUAGUAUAUGGAAACCAGAAACUUAAUUUGGUAUGGUGUUUUUCUGUGUGUUAGGUUGGAAAUGAUAAUGGAGGUUGGAGUGCAACCCAUAGCUUUGUGUCGAGGAAUAGUGAUUCAAAUGAAACAAUAGCUUUCCUUUUCGGUGACAUGGGAACAUUUACAGCAUACAAUACGUAUUUGCGUACACAAGAUGAGAGCAUAUCAACCAUGAAGUGGAUCCUGCGUGAUGUUGAAGCUCUAGGAAACAAGCCCGCCUUUAUAUCACACAUUGGAGACACAAGUUAUGCAAGAGGUUAUGCGUGGUUGUGGGAUCAUUUUUUCGCACAGAUUGAACCUGUUGCAACCAAAGUGGCAUACCAUGUAUGCAUUGGCAAUCACGAGUAUAACUGGCCUUUACAGCCGUGGAAACCUGAUUGGGCUAAUUAUAGAACAGAUGGAGGUGGUGAAUGUGGUGUACCCUACAGUUUAAGGUUCAACAUGCCAGGAAACUCUUCAGAACCCACUGGAACUGUAGCUCCAGCCACUAGGAAUCUUUAUUACUCAUUUGAUAUGGGAGCAGUACAUUUUGUUUAUAUUUCCACAGAGACCAAUUUCCUUCCUGGGAGCAAUCAGUAUAACUUCUUAAAGCGUGAUUUGGAAUCAGUUGACAGGAACAAGACUCCUUUUGUAGUAGUCCAAGGGCACCGACCCAUGUACACAACAAGCAAUGAAUUUAGGGAUGCUGCGUUAAGAGGAAAGAUGGUUGAGCACCUGGAACCUCUAUUGGUGAAUAACCAUGUAACCCUUGCCCUUUGGGGUCAUGUUCAUAGGUACGAGAGAUUUUGUCCACUAAACAACU